This 493-nucleotide ribosomal RNA is filed under the name uncultured bacterium. RNAcentral's name for it is "bacterial SSU rRNA". It matches the Rfam family "Bacterial small subunit ribosomal RNA", at positions 28 to 507 of the family's 1533-position model. The record is from RNAcentral.
GAUGAACGCUAGCUACAGGCUUAACACAUGCAAGUCGAGGGGAAACGACAUCGAAAGCUUGCUUUUGAUGGGCGUCGACCGGCGCACGGGUGAGUAACGCGUAUCCAACCUGCCCACCACUUGGGGAUAACCUUGCGAAAGUAAGACUAAUACCCAAUGAUAUCCCACGAAGGCAUCCGAAUGGGAUUAAAGAUUUAUCGGUGAUGGAUGGGGAUGCGUCUGAUUAGCUUGUUGGCGGGGUAACGGCCCACCAAGGCAACGAUCAGUAGGGGUUCUGAGAGGAAGGUCCCCCCACAUUGGAACUGAGACACGGUCCAAACUCCUACGGGAGGCAGCAGUGAGGAAUAUUGGUCAAUGGGCGAGAGCCUGAACCAGCCAAGUAGCGUGCAGGAUGACGGCCCUAUGGGUUGUAAACUGCUUUUAUAAGGGAAUAAAGUGGGUCUCGUGAGACUUUUUGCAUGUACCUUAUGAAUAAGGACCGGCUAAUUCCGUG